Molecule: ribosomal RNA, 500 nt
Filed under: uncultured Glomeromycotina
Lineage: Eukaryota; Fungi; Glomeromycota
Description: partial small subunit ribosomal RNA
Rfam family: Eukaryotic small subunit ribosomal RNA
Source: RNAcentral
CCAAUAGCGUAUAUUAAAGUUGUUGCAGUUAAAAAGCUCGUAGUUGAAUUUCAGGCCUGGCUGGGCGGUCCGCCUUUUGGGUGAGUACUGCCUGUGGUCGGGUCCUACCUUCUGGCGAAGCGUCAUGGCCUUAACCGGCCGUGGCGGGGAACCAGGACUUUUACUGUGAAAAAAUUAGAGGGUUCAAAGCAGGCAUUCGCUUGAAUACAUUAGCAUGGAAUAAUGGAAUAGGAAAGUGGUUCUAUUUGUUGGUUUCUAGGACCGUUGUAAUGAUUAAUAGGGAUAGUUGGGGGCAUUAGUAUUCAAUUGUCAGAGGUGAAAUUCUUGGAUUUAUUGAAGACUAACUACUGCGAAAGCAUUUGCCAAGGAUGUUUUCAUUAAUCAAGAACGAAAGUUAGGGGAUCGAAGACGAUCAGAUACCGUCGUAGCCUUAACCAUAAACUAUGCCGACUAGGGAUCGGAUGAUGUUAAUUUUUUAAUGACUCAUUCGGCGCCUUACG